AGAGUUUGAUUAUGGCUCAGAGCGAACGCUGGCGGUAUGCUUAACACAUGCAAGUCGAGCGCGAAAGUGACUUCGGUCAUGAGUAGAGCGGCGGACGGGUGAGUAACACGUGGAUAAUCUGCCUUUAGGACUGGGAUAACCCUGGGAAACUAGGGCUAAUACCGGAUAAGACCACAGGUUCCAUGGAACCAGGGGUAAAAGGCGGCCUUCGGGCUGUCGCCGAAAGAUGAGUCCGCGUCCCAUCAGGUAGUUGGUGAGGUAACGGCUCACCAAGCCGACGAUCGGUAGCUGGUUUGAGAGGAUGAUCAGCAACACUGGGACUGAGACACGGCCCAGACUCCUACGGGAGGCAGCAGUGGGGAAUCUUAGACAAUGGGCGCAAGCCUGAUCUAGCCAUGCCGCGUGGGUGAUGAAGGCCUUAGGGUUGUAAAGCUCUUUUACCCGGGAUGAUAAUGACAGUACCGGGAGAAUAAGCUCCGGCUAACUCCGUGCCAGCAGCCGCGGUAAU
This 508-nucleotide ribosomal RNA is filed under the name uncultured Alphaproteobacteria bacterium. RNAcentral's name for it is "bacterial SSU rRNA". It matches the Rfam family "Bacterial small subunit ribosomal RNA", at positions 8 to 524 of the family's 1533-position model. The record is from RNAcentral. Lineage: Bacteria; Pseudomonadati; Pseudomonadota; Alphaproteobacteria.